Molecule: ribosomal RNA, 380 nt
Filed under: uncultured eukaryote
Lineage: Eukaryota
Description: partial 18S ribosomal RNA
Rfam family: Eukaryotic small subunit ribosomal RNA
Source: RNAcentral
CAAUAGCGUAUAUUAAAGUUGUUGCAGUUAAAAAGCUCGUAGUUGGAUUUGUGGCGUACGGUGUGUUCCGGGCACUUGUUGUCUGAGUAACCUGCUGUUGCCAUCCUUGGGUGGAACCUGUGUGGCAUUAGGUUGUCGUGCAGGGGAUGCCCAUCACUUACUGUGAAAAAAUUAGAGUGUUCAAAGCAGGCUUAUGCCGUUGAAUAUAUUAGCAUGGAAUAAUGAGAUAGGACUUUUUUGCUAUUUUGUUGGUUUGCGCAAAGAGGUAAUGAUUAAUAGGGACAGUUGGGGGUAUUCGUAUUCCAUAGUCAGAGGUGAAAUUCUUGGAUUUUUGGAAGACGAACUACUGCGAAAGCAUUUACCAAGGAUGUUUUCAUUAA